AGAACGUUGACAGUUUCUGGUACGCCCCGCACACUGCGAACGCGAUCUGUGGGUGGAAGCCGGUGCAAGUCCGGCGCGGUCGCGCCACUGUGACCGAGCCUCCCGCCCGUCGGGGUGGUGGCUCGGGAGUCAGACCCACCUGCCGGUCGAGUCCGAU
This 157-nucleotide non-coding RNA is filed under the name Pseudofrankia inefficax. The record is from RNAcentral. Lineage: Bacteria; Bacillati; Actinomycetota; Actinomycetes; Frankiales; Frankiaceae.